UUAGUAUAUAGUAGUAGAUAAUUAGUUAUUUAUCUACAUAAAUGUAAAUUAUAUAAAUUAUAUGAAUUUAAAAUAUAUGCAUCCAAGCUGUUAUCGAGCCGAACACGAACGAGUUGAUCCCAACUCAUGUUCGGCUAGUUUAUUAAACAAACUGAAAAAUUUAGCUCGUGUUCGUCUAGCUUAUUAAAUUAGCUGAAAAUUUGAGAUAGUGUUCGACUCGUUUACUAAAUGAGCGUUUCGAUUUCGAGCUUAUUUCCAACAGAAUAUGAGCUGGCUCGCGAACAAUGAGCUGAAUUACCACCCCCGGCGCCUUACUCUAAAAAUAGAACUAUUACUGAACUAAG
Molecule: long non-coding RNA, 344 nt
Filed under: Ananas comosus (pineapple)
Lineage: Eukaryota; Viridiplantae; Streptophyta; Magnoliopsida; Poales; Bromeliaceae
Description: long non-coding RNA (ACOM_LNC018227)
Source: RNAcentral